This 800-nucleotide ribosomal RNA is filed under the name uncultured bacterium. Its description in RNAcentral is "bacterial SSU rRNA". It matches the Rfam family "Bacterial small subunit ribosomal RNA", at positions 8 to 830 of the family's 1533-position model. The record is from RNAcentral.
AGAGUUUGAUCAUGGCUCAGGAUGAACGCUGGCGGCGUGCUUAACACAUGCAAGUCGAACGUGAGGAUAGCAAUAUCUGAAAGUGGCAAACGGGUGAGUAACACGUAGAUAACCUGCCUCGGAGUGGGGGAUAACCACGGGAAACUGUGGCUAAUACCGCACGGUCCUAUAAAGAUGGGAGUCUUAAUAGGUAAAGGUUUACUGCUUCGAGAGGGGUCUGCGUCCGAUUAGCUAGUUGGUAGGGUAAAGGCCUACCAAGGCGAUGAUCGGUAGCUGGUCUGAGAGGACGAUCAGCCACACGGGAACUGAGACACGGUCCCGACUCCUACGGGGGGCAGCAGUGAGGAAUAUUGGACAAUGGGCGCAAGCCUGAUCCAGCAACGCCGCGUGGAGGAUGAAGGCCUUCGGGUUGUAAACUUCUUUUAGUGGGGACAAGGAAGGAUGGUACCCACAGAAUAAGUCACGGCUAACUACGUGCCAGCAGCCGCGGUAAUACGUAGGUGACGAGCGUUAUCCGGAAUUAUUGGGCGUAAAGCGUACGCAAGCGGUUGAUAAAGUCUGACGUGAAAUUUCUUGGCUUAACCGAGAGGGGUCGUUGGAAACUAAUCGGCUUGAGGCGAUGAGAGGAGUGCGGAAUUCCCGGUGUAGUGGUGGAAUGCGUAGAUAUCGGGAGGAACAUCAGUGGCGAAAGCGGCACUCUGGCAUUAGCCUGACGCGCAGGUACGAAAGCGUGGGGAGUGAACGGGAUUAGAUACCCCGGUAAUCCACGCUGUAAACGAUGGACACUAGGUGUAGGUAGA